Molecule: long non-coding RNA, 1401 nt
Filed under: Bos indicus x Bos taurus (hybrid cattle)
Lineage: Eukaryota; Metazoa; Chordata; Mammalia; Artiodactyla; Bovidae
Description: lncRNA (ENSBIXG00000010851.1)
Source: RNAcentral
CGAAGCUUCUGCCAGGGAGAGGGGGCCUCAGUGGACAGCGGGCAAAGGGAGCCCUGGUCCCCCUUCAGCAGCCCCUCCUCCUGCAGAUGCCUUGCCCAGUGCCCUGGAAAGGCUGUCCUUUUGUCCUCUAAACAGAGCUGCAGUUUUGGAGGCCUGUGGCAUGCUCCCUGUGCCCACUCUUGCCUGGCAUCUCCAGAUGCCAUCAUGGGGCAGGCAUUUGCUGCGUCUGCAGAAAAGGCAGGAGUGACUGGAAAUGACCUCCACGCUCCCCGCCCCUCCCUGGCCAGGGAGCACAGGCCUGGGGAACCGUGCGGCCUGCCUACCAGCUGCCCUCUUCGGGCCUCCAUCUUUCUAGAUGGGUGGGAGUUCACCUGCUUGGGCUGCUCAGAGUGUUGGGACGGGAGAGCAGGGCUGCCUGUUCCACAUGAUGCCUUGCUAUGUUGAAAUGCUUCAGUGCCCCAAGGAAUCCAUGCCUCUGCCUACAAAGCCUCCCCCACCUGCCCACACCACUGACUUCUUCCUCUGACCUCUUGCAGCAUGACUGGGUAAGCCCACACCUGGCACCUGUUUCCUGCUGAUUUGCUCAUUCUUUCUCACCCAGGGUGUUGCAAAAGCCUCCCAAAUGGUUGUCCCGGUUCUCCUCUGCACUCUGCGCUCCAUUCUCCAUCUGCACUUAGAAGGAUUAAAAGAGAGCAUUUUAUUGGAGUAUACUUCUUAGUAUAAAGUUAAUGUAAAGUGCUCCAAUCUCAAAUGUGUGUUAUUGUUCAGUUGCUCAGUCGUGUCUGACUCUUUGGGACCCCAUGGACUGCAGCACACCAGGCCUCCCUGUCCCUCACCAUCUCCUGGAGUUUGCCCAAGUUCACGUCCAUUGCCUCGGUGACACCACCCAGCUAUGCGUAGCUGGGUGUAUUUCUGCAUAUGUAUACACCAUGUAAAUGUCUCAUUGAUUGAGAUACAGAACAGCCCAGCAGGUUCACCUGUGCCCCUUUCCAAUCCAUAAUCUCCCCAGAGGUAACCAGUAUUCAGACUUUAAUCCCCAAAGUUAAUUUCACCUACUCUUGAGUUUUAUUUAAAUGGGACCACAUAGCAGAUACUCAUUCUGUCUCCCUUUCUUUCAGCAUCAUUUGUGAGAGCCGUGCAUCCAGUUGCCUGUAUUGGGAAGUUCUUCUUUUUCACUGCUGUGUAGUAUUUCAUUGAAGGAAGGCGCCAUCAGUUAAUUCUCCUCUCUUCAGUAGUUGGAUGUUAGAGUUGUUUUCAGUCUUUAGCUGUGACAACCAUUCUUGUGCACAUUCUUGGUGGUCAUUGGCUUUCAUUUCUCUUGGGUAAAUACCUGUGAGUGGAAGUUAGAUCAUCGCACAGGCAUGUGUUUAGUCUCAAUAAACAUUGCCGAACAAUUUCCCA